Molecule: ribosomal RNA, 297 nt
Filed under: Triticum aestivum (bread wheat)
Lineage: Eukaryota; Viridiplantae; Streptophyta; Magnoliopsida; Poales; Poaceae
Description: partial small subunit ribosomal RNA
Source: RNAcentral
AUGGCUGCUCCCUACCGCGAAGACAUGGCGCUGCCGCCGUCCCCCACCGCGAUGACCGACGACGGGGCCUCCCCCUACGGCGGAGCCGAGCCAUUCCCCACCGCGACAACAGACGAUGGGGCUGCCCCCACCGCGACGCCCGAUGGCGCUGCCAUCCCCCACCGCGACGACCUACGACGCUGCCGUCCACCAUGGCGCUGCCGCCGGGUGGAUGCUACGAAGGUAUCAGGCCAUAGCCAGCGGGGCUACCAACGGCGCCAAUGUAGGCGUCCACCUCGCCGAAGCUCCCCUGGCUAA